This 204-nucleotide long non-coding RNA is filed under the name Manihot esculenta (cassava). RNAcentral's name for it is "long non-coding RNA (MESC_LNC011169)". The record is from RNAcentral. Lineage: Eukaryota; Viridiplantae; Streptophyta; Magnoliopsida; Malpighiales; Euphorbiaceae.
CCCAUUAGCCCUCUAGAUAUUAUGUUAUGUAAUGAAAGACCAGGGCUGCCAUUCUACGCCCCUGGCAUAGAGUACAGGAAAGACCAGGUGUGGCCUGCACUACGCCCCUGGCACAGAGCUUAUGUUAUGUAAUAGAAGUCCUGAGGAGCUCCACCGAGGGCCGGGCACAGAGUAGAGGGAUUUUUGGGUCAGUCCAUCCGUGAU